UAGGGAAUAUUGGGCAAUGGGGGCAACCCUGACCCAGCCAUGCCGCGUGCGGGAAGAAGGCCCUCUGGGUUGUAAACCGCUUUUGGGAGGGGACAAAAUACGGGUGCGCCCGGGAUUGAGUGUACCUCCAGAAUAAGCACCGGCUAACUCCGUGCCAGCAGCCGCGGUAAUACGGAGGGUGCGAGCGUUGUCCGGAUUUAUUGGGUUUAAAGGGUGCGUAGGCGGCCCGUUAAGUCUUCGGUGAAACCCCCGGGCUCAACCCGGGGAGUGCCGGCGAUACUGGCGGGCUUGGAUCUCCUCUGGGCGGGCGGAAUGGAAGGUGUAGCGGUGAAAUGCAUAGAUAUCUACCAGAACGCCGAUAGCGAAGGCAGCUCGCUGGGGGACGAUCGACGCUGAGGCA
RNAcentral lists this ribosomal RNA (400 nucleotides) under uncultured bacterium. RNAcentral's name for it is "bacterial SSU rRNA". It matches the Rfam family "Bacterial small subunit ribosomal RNA", at positions 355 to 753 of the family's 1533-position model. The record is from RNAcentral.